GAAAGUAUGGCUCAGUAGGUUAGAGCGCUUCGACGGAUGACGAGGCGUGAGGGGUACAAAUCUCGUUACGUUCA
This 74-nucleotide transfer RNA is filed under the name Heliconius melpomene (postman butterfly). RNAcentral describes it as "tRNA HMEL012704". It matches the Rfam family "tRNA". Rfam says of the family: Transfer RNA (tRNA) molecules are approximately 80 nucleotides in length. Their secondary structure includes four short double-helical elements and three loops (D, anti-codon, and T loops). Further hydrogen bonds mediate the characteristic L-shaped molecular structure. tRNAs have two regions of fundamental functional importance: the anti-codon, which is responsible for specific mRNA codon recognition, and the 3' end, to which the tRNAs corresponding amino acid is attached (by aminoacyl-tRNA synthetases). tRNAs cope with the degeneracy of the genetic code in two manners: having more than one tRNA (with a specific anti-codon) for a particular amino acid; and 'wobble' base-pairing, i.e. permitting non-standard base-pairing at the 3rd anti-codon position. The record is from RNAcentral. Lineage: Eukaryota; Metazoa; Arthropoda; Insecta; Lepidoptera; Nymphalidae.